RNAcentral lists this ribosomal RNA (493 nucleotides) under uncultured bacterium. RNAcentral describes it as "bacterial SSU rRNA". It matches the Rfam family "Bacterial small subunit ribosomal RNA", at positions 903 to 1397 of the family's 1533-position model. The record is from RNAcentral.
AAAUGAAUAGACGGGGGCCCGCACAAGCAGUGGAGUAUGUGGUUUAAUUCGACGCAACGCGAAGAACCUUACCAGGGCUUGACAUCCCCUGACGGCUGUGGAGACGCAGCUUUCCCUUCGGGGACAGGGAGACAGGUGGUGCAUGGUUGUCGUCAGCUCGUGUCGUGAGAUGUUGGGUUAAGUCCCGCAACGAGCGCAACCCCUAUUGCCAGUUGCCAGCAUGCAAGAUGGGCACUCUGGCGAGACUGCCGUUGACAAAACGGAGGAAGGUGGGGACGACGUCAAAUCAUCAUGCCCCUUAUGUCCUGGGCUACACACGUACUACAAUGGCAGCAACAGAGGGCGGCGAGGCCGCGAGGCCAAGCGAAUCCCGAAAGGCUGUCUCAGUUCAGAUUGCAGGCUGCAACUCGCCUGCAUGAAGUCGGAAUUGCUAGUAAUGGCAGGUCAGCAUACUGCCGUGAAUACGUUCCCGGGCCUUGUACACACCGCCCGU